GUUGGUGCACUUUCAGGUGUUGUCAAUUACCGUGUAUUGAGAUGGGUGCAAUUAAACGAGGCAUGUGUGAUAUUUACAUGUUUCAGGCCCUCUUUAUUCGAGCCUGUUCAUGGACAGCUUUGUGAAGUGCAAUCUACUGUCCUACCCCUUAGCAUUGGUUUGUCAGGACAUACAGGAGCUGGCCUGCAGGCACUUUGGUGUAGAUAUGGAGCAGUGACGCCAGCCACUGGCACCAGGUACGUGCCAGUCUAGAGGGGACUGAUCAGUCAGCCGACCAGACCAUGACCUGGAUUACUGGCAACCUUUCUACCAGUCAUCCAGCUCUUUACAGAAUUGCUGCUGUGGGUCUCCUCCUCCCAACCUCUACUGCAGAUUUUGAGCGAGGAUUCAGCUGCCUGAAGAGAGUUAAGACUGAAAACAGGAAUUGUCUCUCUGUUAAAGUUCUAAACUAUCUUCUUGCCGUCUCCCUGUAAGGACCCCCAUUAGAAUCUUUCAACUUUGAGAAGGCAGUCAAGGCAUGGAAGGACAACAAACCUAGAAGACAGGCCCUCUUUUAAUGAUGUUAAUGAAGAAAAAACAACUGAAAUAUACUCAUUUAAAUAGGACACACACAUACAUAUAAAUGUUGAUCACAUUUUGUGAACUUGUGUUUAUAUAUAAUUGUUUAUUUAUUUGAAUUGUUGGAAAUGUAAAAAGUAAAUAAUAAAAAUUAAGAAAAUGUUUAUCAAGUGAAAAGCUUUCAUUAUUUGUUUUAAAACAGCCCACAGCAGUAUCUUGACACCUUAAAUGGCAAAAAUUUUCGACACGCGGUAUGGGGGUCAAGACCCCCUCCCGCACCCACCCCCGUCUUAUUAAAAAAUUGUAGCGCUUAAAAAAAAUCCUGGGGAAUUCCCUG
This is a long non-coding RNA of Ruditapes philippinarum (Manila clam), 895 nucleotides long. RefSeq lists it as uncharacterized. The transcript has 3 exons. Lineage: Eukaryota; Metazoa; Mollusca; Bivalvia; Venerida; Veneridae. The record is from RefSeq and is a predicted model, not a curated record.